CGGCGAGUGAAGCGGGAAGAGCUUCAAAUUUGAAAAGCUGGCACCUUUCGGUGUCCCGCGUUGUAAUCUCGAGAAGUGUUUUCCGUGCUGGACCAUGUACAAGUUCCUUGGAAUAGGACGUCAUAGAGGGUGAAAAUCCCGUACUUGACAUGGACGCCCAGUGCUUUGUGAUACACUCUCCACGAGUCGAGUUGUUUGGGAAUGCAGCUCAAAAUGGGUGGUAAAUUCCAUCUAAAGCUAAAUAUUGGGGAGAGACCGAUAGCGAACAAGUACCGUGAGGGAAAGAUGAAAAGCACUUUGGAAAGAGAGUUAAACAGUACGUGAAAUUGUCGAAAGGGAAGCGCUUGAAGUUAGACAUGCUUGCCGGGAUUCAGCCUUGCUUUUGCUUGGUGCAUUUCCCGGUGUGCAGGCCAGCAUCAGUUUUGUUUGCCGGAUAAGGGUGAGAGGAACGUGGCCCCUCGGGGUGUUAUAGCCUCUCACUGGAUACGGCGGAUGGGACUGAGGACCGCAGUGUGCCUUUAUGGCGGGCCUUCGGGCACCUUCACACUUAGGAUGCUGGCGUAAUGGCUUUAAGCGACCCGUCU
Molecule: ribosomal RNA, 584 nt
Filed under: Quambalaria eucalypti
Lineage: Eukaryota; Fungi; Basidiomycota; Exobasidiomycetes; Microstromatales; Quambalariaceae
Description: partial large subunit ribosomal RNA
Rfam family: Eukaryotic large subunit ribosomal RNA
Source: RNAcentral